This is a long non-coding RNA of Neogale vison (American mink), 2926 nucleotides long. RefSeq lists it as uncharacterized. The transcript is spliced from 2 exons. The record is from RefSeq and is a predicted model, not a curated record. Lineage: Eukaryota; Metazoa; Chordata; Mammalia; Carnivora; Mustelidae.
CUGAGCCACCCAGGCGUCCCUUAUGGCCCUUUUCAAUGCAGAGGAGAGGGAUCGCAUUAUGCGAGAAACCCAUAAGGUGAUAAAAGAGAGGCUUGGCCUGGACCUCGAUCCCUGGCGAAUGGAGGACUACUGCCCAAAGAAACCCCCCAACUGGGACCCAAACUCCGAUGAAGUCACUGCAGGCACUACAAUCUGUCUUGAAAAGGGCCCACGCAGGGAUCCAAACUGCCAACAGUGAAAUGGAGCCAGAGAUGGAUCCACAUCCUUACCAGCCUGGGGACUUGGUGUGGAUACGUCGCCACCAAGUGGGAAACUUGGAACCUCAUUGGAAGGGAUCCUUUACUGUCAUUUUGACCACCCCCACAGCAAUAAAAGUAGAAGGCAUCAGGGCCUGGAUUCAUGCGGGUCAUGUCAAACAAGCCGAGGACAGGAGCGCCCCCCAGAGAUGGGUACCAUUGCCGAUGGACUCCACCGACCAUGGACUAAAGCUAAGGCUCAAAAAACAAUGAGUUCAUUAAGUUCCUUGUUACUCCUAUUGUUACCGGUUUAUGUAAAAACUUCUGAGUCGCCCCAUCAGACAGAGAAGUAUAAAUAGGAAAUUAGACAGGUGAAAUUAACAAAAGUAGAAAAGGUUAUACAAAGCAAUGAGUGGCUGACCCAUCAGCCAACUAUGCAAUUUAAUGUGACUCUAUGUCAAUUGGCACCUGUAACUCCCUGUGUCACGCAUGCCCCCUAUUACAUGUAUCCUAACACAGGGACUUAUACAGGAUGUUGGGGGGCUUCAGACUAUUACUGUGCAUGGUGGGGCUGUGAGACAAUAGCCUCUGAUUGGGGAAUUAACCGUGACCCCCACAUAACGCUAGUACCCACCAGAACAGACAACUGUGUAACACAAAAGGAAUUUGAUAAAAAUUUAGCUGCAGGGAUCUUCCCUUCAAACGCAUCCCACCGAUAUAGGGGAUAUUGUACAAAUAUAUCUCUUAUGAUCAUCAACCCCAAAGAUCGUCUUUGGGAAUAUGGCGGAUCUUGGGGCCUUAGAUAUUAUGAACCUGGUGCAGAUAGAGGAGGGCAAUCUCCCAUCCAGAAGAUAAAGAUUUGAGAAGCGCCCUGGCCCAGGGCCGAACCCAGUUUUAAAUUCUCCCAAGCCAUUAAAACCAACCAGGCUACCCGCCAUGCCUACCCCGAAGGAGGCUAUUGUGAAGGAUAAAAAAGAGGUUGACAAUGGCAAUAGUGCCACAAAAGUUUUACUCCCACUGAUAGAUACAAUGUUUAAUUUUUUAAAUACUUCAGUUCCUAAUAUCACCCGAGACUGCUGGCCCCCAUACUAUAAUGGCGUGGGGGCCAAUCUUACCAUAGGGACCUGAAAGGGGAAGAUUAAAAAUGAAAGCUCUCAUGACUCUUGUGAAUGGGGAAAAGUACCUAGACUAACACUAGGGGAUAUAGAAGGUAAGGGACUUUGCUUUGCAACACGAAAAGGGAAGCAAUCUUCCCAGUACAAAGACUUAUGUGAAAUUAUAAUGGUCCCUACCGUCUUCACUAAUUUCCUUAAGGCCCCUUCCAGGGCCUGGUUUGCUUGCAAUUCAGGACUCAUGCCAUGCCUUAAUCUUGCCUUGUUCCAAAACGCUUCCUGGAAUGAACUCUGUAUAAUGGCCCACAUCCUUCCCCAAGUAGGUUAUUAUGGGGGAGUCGAGGGAUUCCAGCAUCUCCCUGCAGGGACAGGACGAACAAAACGUGCGGUCCCCAUCCUAAUUCCAGCGUUAGUGGCUGCAGGGAUAGCAGGGUCCACCGCAAUAGGAACCGCAGCCUUAAUAAAAGAGAAAGUAGAUUCUGAGGCUCUUGGAUCCCAAGUAGAUGCUGACCUACACCACAUGCAUGAAAAUAUAAACUAACUGAUUCCCUGAGCUCUCUAGCUGAAAUGGUACUGCAAAAUAGAAGAGGGCUUGACAUAACUAUUCUUAGAGAAAGGGGGACUUUGUGUGACCUUAGGGGAAGAAUGCUGCUUUUGGAUAAAUCACACUGGAGUCAUUAAAGACAGCCUGGCGGCUGUCAAAAGGAGGCUAGAUGAGCGCAAACAGCAAUGCAGGGACUCCUGGGGUGGUAUGAGAGUUUGUUCAACUGGUCUCCGUGGAUGACUUCCCUAAUAUCAGCGAUUACAGGCCCCCUGGUCUUACUAUUACUGAUGUUACUCUUUGGCCCCUGCGCUAUAAAUGCCCUGAUGUCAUUUGUACAAAAAAGAAUUGGGGCGAUAAAGAUGCUAAUCUUACAAACUCAAUAUAACCCCUUACCACAGGGGGACAUAGAACCGUCAAAGAUCUUUUCCAAAGAAAAGGGGGGGAAUGUAAGGGCCUACUUGAUCAGUACUGGUCUCAUCCCCAUAGAAUAGCCAUCCCUAUAUUUAGGUGUGAACUUAGAUUGACUCUGCCCCUUCCCCCAAGAGGAACGCGCUUAGAAACAGAACCAGUGAAAUAUGGUCGGCUGCUAAAAUACGACCGAAUAGCCCCCAAUAACAGAGCACAAGUACCAGGACAUGUCAGCCUGGGCGAGAUAAUGGAGCCCAGAUACCAGGAUGUGUUUGGCCAGGUGGAGACAUCCAAUCAGUAAAAGCGCAUGUAUUACCUCCCUACCCGCUAAGGAAUGUGAGCCCUGCCUUUCAGGUGCCAAUUCUAGCCAAGGUGAUAGGCUGAAUCAAAUGAUUACCAUGAGGUAGAGUGUAAUCCAAUUGGCCACCUGUGUAUAACCUAGCAUGAUUGUAUGAUGUUCUCUGUGUGCUACAUUCUCAUUGGCCGGGUUCAACUAUAUGGCCUUUACUUUAUAAAACCUGGCCGAUGAGAAUAGGAGGUCAUUGCUUUCCCUUUGUAAAAGGUGACCCCGACCGGUCGGUUUUGGUUCUCGGUGCUAGCCCGAAAUAAAGCCCUGCUUAACUUUA